AAAUUGAAGAGUUUGAUCAUGGCUCAGAUUGAACGCUGGCGGCAGGCCUAACACAUGCAAGUCGAACGGUAACAGGAAGCAGCUUGCUGCUUCGCUGACGAGUGGCGGACGGGUGAGUAAUGUCUGGGAAACUGCCUGAUGGAGGGGGAUAACUACUGGAAACGGUGGCUAAUACCGCAUAACGUCGCAAGACCAAAGAGGGGGACCUUCGGGCCUCUUGCCAUCAGAUGUGCCCAGAUGGGAUUAGCUUGUUGGUGAGGUAACGGCUCACCAAGGCGACGAUCCCUAGCUGGUCUGAGAGGAUGACCAGCCACACUGGAACUGAGACACGGUCCAGACUCCUACGGGAGGCAGCAGUGGGGAAUAUUGCACAAUGGGCGCAAGCCUGAUGCAGCCAUGCCGCGUGUAUGAAGAAGGCCUUCGGGUUGUAAAGUACUUUCAGCGGGGAGGAAGGUGUUGUGGUUAAUAACCGCAGCAAUUG
Molecule: ribosomal RNA, 481 nt
Filed under: Salmonella enterica subsp. enterica serovar Typhimurium
Lineage: Bacteria; Pseudomonadati; Pseudomonadota; Gammaproteobacteria; Enterobacterales; Enterobacteriaceae
Description: bacterial SSU rRNA
Rfam family: Bacterial small subunit ribosomal RNA
Source: RNAcentral